AUGCAAAGGUUGCAGGAUGAAAUAGCUGAGACCUUGAGCCUUCUAGAGCACAAUCAACCCAAAAUCCAUAUUCCACUUAAUGGGGAUGGCCAGCCUGUUGGGCCAGAUGCAACUGAAUUUGCCAAUUUCAUUGGUACAUUGGUGAGGAAGCAUAUACCGCCCGCAGAGUUACAUUGGCGAGAUGUUGAUGUAGAGAAAAAGUUGUUAGUGUGGGAGACCUUGAAGGCAUUUUACGAGCUGGACUCAACUGCUUUGAGCUUUGUUAUCAACACUUCACAGAUAAAAUGGAAGGAUUGGAAGUCAGAUUUAAAGAUGUACAAGUUUGAUGCUGCGCUCACUGAUGCACAACUUAUGAAAAGACGUGACAGCAGAAUUAGUGAAGCUGACUGGAAGACCCUUAUUACUUAUUAG
RNAcentral lists this ribosomal RNA (411 nucleotides) under Triticum aestivum (bread wheat). RNAcentral describes it as "partial small subunit ribosomal RNA". Lineage: Eukaryota; Viridiplantae; Streptophyta; Magnoliopsida; Poales; Poaceae. The record is from RNAcentral.